AAUGAAGUGCCUGAUUAAAAGGGCUAUUUUGAUAGAAUAGAUUAUGUGAAUCCACCUUUAUUA
Molecule: transfer RNA, 63 nt
Filed under: Tolmerinus auronotatus
Lineage: Eukaryota; Metazoa; Arthropoda; Insecta; Coleoptera; Staphylinidae
Description: tRNA-Ile
Source: RNAcentral